This 399-nucleotide ribosomal RNA is filed under the name Palaemon serrifer. Its description in RNAcentral is "partial 16S ribosomal RNA". It matches the Rfam family "Bacterial large subunit ribosomal RNA", at positions 1932 to 2540 of the family's 2925-position model. The record is from RNAcentral. Lineage: Eukaryota; Metazoa; Arthropoda; Malacostraca; Decapoda; Palaemonidae.
UGCGGUAAUUUGACCGUGCAAAGGUAGCAUAAUCAGUAGUCUUUUAAUUGAAGGCUUGUAUGAACGGUUGGAUGAGGGAAAAGCUGUCUUUUUUGCAAAUUAAAAUUUGACUUUUAAGUGAAAAGGCUUAAAUUAGAUAGGGGGACGAUAAGACCCUAUAAAACUUUAUAAAAGACUAAUUUCAUUUUUAAAUUCUGUUAAAAAAUUAUGAAAUUUUUCUUUUAUUUUGUUGGGGCGACAUUAAUAUAAGCUGUAACUGUUUAAAUAAAAAUUAUAAUUAUCAUUAUUGUUUGAUCCCUCUUUGAGGAUAAAAAGACUAAGUUACUUUAGGGAUAACAGCGUAAUUUUUUUUGAGAGUUCUUAUCGAAGAAAAUAGUUGCGACCUCGAUGUUGAAUUAA